Molecule: unclassified non-coding RNA, 182 nt
Filed under: Trichophyton tonsurans
Lineage: Eukaryota; Fungi; Ascomycota; Eurotiomycetes; Onygenales; Arthrodermataceae
Description: ITS2
Source: RNAcentral
CAGCCCCUCAAGCCCGGCUUGUGUGAUGGACGACCGUCCGGCGCCCCCGUCUCUGGGGGUGCGGGACGCGCCCGAAAAGCAGUGGCCAGGCCGCGAUUCCGGCUUUCUAGGCGAAUGGGCAACAAACCAGCGCCUCCAGGACCGGCCGCCCUGGCCUCAAAAUCUGUUUUAUACUUAUCAGG